AACGGUAGUCUCAUCUGCAC
This 20-nucleotide unclassified non-coding RNA is filed under the name Mus musculus (house mouse). RNAcentral's name for it is "oocyte_clustered_small_RNA8651". Lineage: Eukaryota; Metazoa; Chordata; Mammalia; Rodentia; Muridae. The record is from RNAcentral.